Molecule: ribosomal RNA, 468 nt
Filed under: uncultured bacterium
Lineage: Bacteria
Description: partial 16S ribosomal RNA
Rfam family: Bacterial small subunit ribosomal RNA
Source: RNAcentral
GACGAACGCUGGCGGCGUGCUUAACACAUGCAAGUCGAACGGAAAGGCCCUGCUUUUGUGGGGUGCUCGAGUGGCGAACGGGUGAGUAACACGUGAGUAACCUGCCCUUGACUUUGGGAUAACUUCAGGAAACUGGGGCUAAUACCGGAUAGGAGCUCCUGCUGCUUGGUGGGGGUUGGAAAGUUUCGGCGGUUGGGGAUGGACUCGCGGCUUAUCAGCUUGUUGGUGGGGUAGUGGCUUACCAAGGCUUUGACGGGUAGCCGGCCUGGGAGGGUGACCGGCCACAUUGGGACUGAGAUACGGCCCAGACUCCUACGGGAGGCAGCAGUGGAGAAUAUUGCACAAUGGGCGGAAGCCUGAUGCAGCAACGCCGCGUGCGGGAUGACGGCCUUCGGGUUGAAAACCGCUUUCGCCUGUGACGAAGCGUGAGUGACGGUAAUGGGUAAAGAAGCACCGGCUAACUACGUG